RNAcentral lists this ribosomal RNA (655 nucleotides) under uncultured bacterium. RNAcentral describes it as "bacterial SSU rRNA". It matches the Rfam family "Bacterial small subunit ribosomal RNA", at positions 1 to 673 of the family's 1533-position model. The record is from RNAcentral.
UAAAUCGACUAAUGACGCUGGCGGAUGCUUACACCUGCAGUCGAACGGUAACAGGUCUUCGGAUGCUGACGAGUGGCGAACGGGUGAGUAUACAUCGGAACGUGCCCGAGAGUGGGGGAUAACGAAGCGAAAGCUUUGCUGAUACCGCAUACGAUCUCAGGAUGAAAGCAGGGGACCGCAAGGCCUUGCGCUCACGGAGCGUGCGAUGGCAGAUUAGGUAGUUGGUGGAUAAAAGCUUACCAAGCCGACGAUCUGUAGCUGGUCUGAGAGGACGACCAGCCACACUGGGACUGAGACACGGCCCAGGCUCCUACGGGAGGCAGCAGUGGGGAAUUUUGGACAAUGGGCGCAAGCCUGAUCCAGCCAAUGCCGCGUGCAGGAUGAAGGCCUUCGAGUUGUAAACUGCUUUUGUACGGAACGAAAAGACUCUGGUUAAUAACUGGGGUCCAUGACGGUACCGUAAGAAUAAGCACCGGCUAACUACGUGCCAAACAAACGCGGAUAAUACGUAAGGUGCGAACGUAAAUCGGAAUUAAUGGGCGUAAAGCGUGCGCAAGCGGAUAUGUAAGACAGAUGUGAAAUCCCCGGGAUCAAACUGGGAACUGCAUUAGUGACUGAAUAGCUAAAGUACAGCAAAGGGGCUGGAAAUACGCCU